CCAGGAACUCCCCAACCAGGAUGCAGUGAAAUGGAAUGAGAGGGAAUAGCGGAGGUGAGGUGGAGGGGGGUUACCUCCACUUCCUUUUCAUCCCCCCCUCCUCUCCCUGUAGUCCCACCACAGCACUCCCACAACCUCCCAUACCAGCACUCAGCAGAAAGUUUGACUGGAAAGCAGGAAAACAAUAAGGGCCUGGUGUUUUCUGACGGUUGAGGAUGUAGGUAUCAAGGGAGAUGGACUGUGGAAAGGGUUCCAACAGAUUUUCCUUGGAGAGAGAAAACCCCAAGAAAGCAAAGAAAGGAACAUGACAUCAUAUGAUCGACUCAGAUGCACAGAUGUUGGUUUUCUGCAGCUGUUCCAACAAGCUCUGUUUAAUGAGUACAGUGCUGUUUGAUGCAGGAUUUUUAACAAGUAAGUCUAGUAUGGAACAGUACAUCCAUGCCUCCGCCCUUGCAUUCUCUCGUUUUGGGAACGUACUGUGGAACAUAGUGAAAUUAGCCUGAGAUCUUCAAUGUACCCUUGAUGUUUGGUCAAAGACAAUGGCGCAAACACUUUCAUUCAUAGUAUACUUUAAACAGUAGAUCAAACGAUUAAAACUAAGAAAUGAAACUGCAUUUUGAGUGAUUCUUGCACUGAUUAAAUUCAAUGAAAGUUUCUAGCAUCAAGUACAAGAUGGAAAUAUCAUUAACUGAUCGAAAAAGGUCAAGGACCAGCUCUGAAAAGAUUGAUUUGUGGCAUCUAGGCCAAGCCUGAAAAAGGUUUUCAAAGGGUCAGUGAUGUCUUUCAAAGAAGUGUCCCCAAGGCUACAAAGCGGAAUAACCCGAAACAGUGACGGAAUUACGACAUCUAGGAUUUCAGAGGAGGGCAACGAAUUUAUAGAAUAGAAUGGUUCUGCUUCUUUUCAGCAUGCAGGCGUUCGUGAAGGGUCACACUCAACAACACAGGACAAAGGGCAAAUCUCUAGCUCUGGACUCCAGUUGUGUGCAUCUGGGGCCUCAGCAGAGCCUGAGAGCACGACUCCCUACAGGGACCAAAGGCACCCACACACAGUCAAAUGUCAAGCACAGAGGAGGGCGAGAGAAUCGACGCCAAAAAGGGGAGGCGAAGACAAAACAUGUUUUAUAGUGGUGGUGAACUUGGGAGUGGCACGCUUGAAAGGGCAAGGCUCGACACUGUGACACUGAGCACUACCACGCACAUUCCCCAACAGUUGCUGGGAGAAAACACAAUGCUGGCACUCUUCUGCCAUACAUCUGUAAUUUCCUCCGCCAUCUCCCUGCUUCUGUCAGCAUACAAGAUUUUGGAUCAAGACUUGGAGGUUUUUGAGAUGAUUUUUGGGGCCAAAUAUGCAGGCGAGCCUCUUUAUGGAUCAACUUACAUCACUGAUUGAUGAUCUCAUGAUGAACCAUCAAUGAACAAUUAUUUUUGGGGUUUCUGAGAAACCCUUGUUCAGACUUUUUCCAACUUUCCAAGGAUCCCAAUUCUCUGUUAGGAUUACAAGAACAUUAGCUUUUGUUCAGGUGUACACGUGUGAGCCUUUCCAAUAUUUCUAAAGCCCCAUAAGGAUUAACUGAGUGAAUGAGACACAGGAACCUGAUGCACAAAAGACCCAGGUCAGGUUUGGGUUGACUAACCUGUAUUUCUUGUCAGAAGUGAAAUAAAAGCUUUGUUGAGAGGUUUAUCCCCUCGGGAACACUGCUAUUUCCAGAUUGAAUGGAUUCAAAUACUAUUUAAGCAUUUACUUCAGAUAGCUUUUCCAGAUGUUACAUUUGUAAAAGCACUGCAGCACAUAUAUGCAAUUACAGACACUGCUUUAGGUAUUGUGUAAUAUUCCAAUUAUAUACUGACUGAAAUGAUCUUGAAUUCCCAGUGGCAAUGCAGUUACAAAGUCUAUGACCUGUAGAUAUGCUGCAUGAAUUCAUAAAUAAAAAAGGUUCAUAAUUGUAUUUUAUGGCUCUACUAAAAUAGGUUUAGAUGUUUUAAUGUUCAAAAAACAAAUUUUUCUCAUACUGCCUAUAGCUGAGCACCUAUUUUCAGCCUCUGUCUGAAACGAUCGGUUUUAGCUCCUGUCUUUUUAAGGCCCCCCUCCCGAAAAGCCCAGUCUGCUCUGAUUGGUAGGCAUUAUGACGCGGAUGACGCUCCGGCCCCUCCCACUUCCGCCUCAGCGUUCCGUUGUUUUCGGGCAGUUAGCUCCUCACUGCUACUGAGUUUAGCUGCAUUUCUACCGUCAAUAUUAAUUCAAUAACUGCUUCUAAACCAAAAACUUCACCACCGGACAUGUUAGAGCGGGAGUCUGACCUGAAAUCACGGAGAAAUGAACAACAUCAACAAUCAGGAUUACAGCUUUCUGUGACGUUUUCCACAGGUACAGCAGUGAGCAGUGACCUACAGUCUACACAGCCCAGUGAAGUUAAACAUAUUAUAUGCCUGCAAUACUUUAUCCUCUACAACAUGUCAACAUAACUGAAGGAAUUACUCAUCUAAUAAAGUAACUUGUCUAUGUGGUUUAAAAACUGCUAGUCUGAAUGAACGAAUAGUCUGAUAUUUUAACUUGAAAGUAUUAUUACCAAAGUUAACCUUCAGAUAUGUAAAAGCUGCAAUUAUGUUUGAACCCCAUUAAAAAUACUGUAUAUAUACACACUGAAUAAUCUAUAAUUUAUAUUAUAUAUUAUGAUGUCAUUUAUCUUCCAACAUAAUAAAGUUUGAAUGUGAGACAGUAA
Long non-coding RNA from Dicentrarchus labrax (European seabass), 2720 nucleotides. RefSeq lists it as uncharacterized. The transcript has 2 exons. The record is from RefSeq and is a predicted model, not a curated record. Lineage: Eukaryota; Metazoa; Chordata; Actinopteri; Moronidae.